UACAGAGGGGGCAAGCGUUGUUCGGAAUUACUGGGCGUAAAGGGCGCGUAGGCGGCCUUCUAAGUCAUGCGUGAAAUCCCCGGGCUCAACCCGGGAACUGCGUCUGAUACUGGAAGGCUUGAAUCCGGGAGAGGGAUGUGGAAUUCCAGGUGUAGCGGUGAAAUGCGUAGAUAUCAGGAAGAACACCCGUGGCUAAGGCGGCUCUCUAGUACGGUACUGACGCUGAGACGCGAAAGCGUGGGGAGCGAACAGG
This 253-nucleotide ribosomal RNA is filed under the name uncultured bacterium. RNAcentral's name for it is "partial 16S ribosomal RNA". It matches the Rfam family "Bacterial small subunit ribosomal RNA", at positions 524 to 776 of the family's 1533-position model. The record is from RNAcentral.